AAGCGGCGGCAGGCCUAACACAUGCAAGUCGAGCGGCAGCACAAGUGAGUUUACUCAUGAGGUGGCGAGCGGCGGACGGGUGAGUAAUGCCUAGGGAUCUGCCCAGGUCGAGGGGGAUAACAGUUGGAAACGACUGCUAAUACCGCAUACGCCCUACGGGGGAAAGGAGGGGACCUUUUGGCCUUCCGCGAUUGGAUGAACCUAGGUGGGAUUAGCUAGUUGGUGAGGUAAUGGCUCACCAAGGCGACGAUCCCUAGCUGUUCUGAGAGGAUGAUCAGCCACACUGGGACUGAGACACGGCCCAGACUCCUACGGGAGGCAGCAGUGGGGAAUAUUGCACAAUGGGGGAAACCCUGAUGCAGCCAUGCCGCGUGUGUGAAGAAGGCCUUCGGGUUGUAAAGCACUUUCAGUAGGGAGGAAAGGUUGUAAGUUAAUACCUUGCAGCUGUGACGUUACCUACAGAAGAAGGACCGGCUAACUCCGUGCCAGCAGCCGCGGUAAUACGGAGGGUCCAAGCGUUAAUCGGAAUUACUGGGCGUAAAGCGUGCGCAGGCGGUUUGUUAAGCGAAUGUGAAACCCCCGGGCUCAACUGGGAAUUGCAUUGGAACUGGCAAACUAGGUCUUGUACAGGGGGUAGAUUCCAAGUUUACCGUUGA
This 656-nucleotide ribosomal RNA is filed under the name Shewanella sp. B30-3-2. RNAcentral describes it as "bacterial SSU rRNA". It matches the Rfam family "Bacterial small subunit ribosomal RNA", at positions 33 to 684 of the family's 1533-position model. Lineage: Bacteria; Pseudomonadati; Pseudomonadota; Gammaproteobacteria; Alteromonadales; Shewanellaceae. The record is from RNAcentral.